This 508-nucleotide ribosomal RNA is filed under the name uncultured bacterium. RNAcentral's name for it is "bacterial SSU rRNA". It matches the Rfam family "Bacterial small subunit ribosomal RNA", at positions 18 to 518 of the family's 1533-position model. The record is from RNAcentral.
CAUGGCUCAGGAUGAACGCUAGCGACAGGCUUAACACAUGCAAGUCGAGGGGCAGCAUAAAAGUAGCAAUACUUGGUGGCGACUGGCGCACGGGUGAGUAACGCGUAUGCAACCUACCUAUCAGAGGGGAAUAACCCGGCGAAAGUCGGACUAAUACCGCAUAAAACAGGGGCACCGCAUGGUGAUAUUUGUUAAAGAGAUUCGCUGAUAGAUGGGCAUGCGUUCCAUUAGGUAGUUGGUGAGGUAACGGCUCACCAAGCCGACGAUGGAUAGGGGAACUGAGAGGUUGGUCCCCCACACUGGUACUGAGACACGGACCAGACUCCUACGGGAGGCAGCAGUGAGGAAUAUUGGUCAAUGGGCGGGAGCCUGAACCAGCCAAGUCCGCGUGAAGGAAGAAGGAUCUAUGGUUCGUAAACUUCUUUUGCAGGGGAAUAAAGUGCAGGACGUGUCCUGUUUUGUAUGUACCCUGAGAAUAAGGAUCGGCUAACUCCGUGCCAGCCGCCGC